UCAACUCCGAUGAGGGCAUGACGUUAAGA
RNAcentral lists this small RNA (29 nucleotides) under Bombyx mori (domestic silkworm). RNAcentral describes it as "ovarian small RNA-24647". Lineage: Eukaryota; Metazoa; Arthropoda; Insecta; Lepidoptera; Bombycidae. The record is from RNAcentral.